CACAUCCAGCCCUGGCCAGGCAUUUCUGCCGCAGGCAGAUGCGGCGCUGCGGCCGGACCGCUGUCCCCGGUGCUGAAAGGUCGAGGGCGCCCGCGCGAGCCCUCGGUAUUGCUAUCCAGGGUGCUGAGCGCGGGCCGCCGCAGUCCCCGAAGCCAGCCCACCCGCGCCAGCCCUCCGCAGAGCCCUCCCACCUGGCACGACCCGCCCGCCUCCCGCCAGCCUGCAGUUGACGUGGAGCAGGCGGCAUAAAUCAAGUCCGCGGGGCAUGGAGGCUGCUGUUGCUGCAGCAGCUCAGCUUGCCCGGGGCGGGAACUCCCCCUUUCUCCUUUCGCUUCCCCAGCACCCACACCCUGCCUCCUCCUUAAUUCUUCCCUGGAUAAUAGUACCCUAACGACAACAGUCAAAAUAAUAGGGUUAGAACGACGGGGGGGAACCCAACAGCCUAAAUAUCUCUGAAAACUGCAUCGCAAAAUGGAAGAAAGAGGGGGUCCCACUACUGUUUCAAAAGAGUAAGUUAUUAUUCGGAGCCAUGGAAGCCAAAUGCUGAGGAUGGUGGCAUCAUAGGAUGAAUGGAGCUGGGUUCUUGAAGAACUGCUUGGAGGAAAGACAGCAAAAAUGCCUCAUGAAUCCAACUGGACUGUUAAGAUGCUCACCCUUGGAGACCAGCAACAAUGUGUGCAGAAACCAAGGCCAUGUGGAGAGGCCCCACGUACGUGUCCAGCUGAGGUCCCAGCUGACAGCUGGCAUUGACAUGUGAGUGAGACUCUGAACUGUCCCAGCUGAUGACAAGUGCAGUUUGAGCGAGCUAUCCCUGUUGGACCUGUCAAAACUGCAGAUUUCAUGAAGAAAAUAAGUGUUGUUGAUUUAAGCCAGUAAGUUUUGACAUACUAUGUUAAACAGCCAUAGUAAUUGGAAGAGUGUGAAACAAAUACUAGUCUUUUGAGUCUCAUUUUUCUAUAAAGUUUAUCUUCCCCCUUCCUUGCAUAAGGAUUCUUUCUCUUUUUCUCUCAGACAGUUCUGUUAUCCCUGCUAGUGAUGCUAUUACUACUUCAAAUACUAUUGUU
Chlorocebus sabaeus (green monkey) is the source of this 1064-nucleotide non-coding RNA. Lineage: Eukaryota; Metazoa; Chordata; Mammalia; Primates; Cercopithecidae. The record is from RefSeq and is a predicted model, not a curated record.